UGGCUCAGUGGUUAAGAGCACUGGCUGCUCUCCCAGAGGACCUGGGUUCAAUUCCUAG
RNAcentral lists this transfer RNA (58 nucleotides) under Neotoma lepida (desert woodrat). RNAcentral also lists the same sequence under 1 other name. The record is from Rfam by way of RNAcentral. Lineage: Eukaryota; Metazoa; Chordata; Mammalia; Rodentia; Cricetidae.